CACGUAGGGCGCGAGCGUUGUCCGGAAUUAUUGGGCGUAAAGAGCUCGUAGGCGGCCUGUUGCGUCCGCUGUGAAAGCCCGGGGCUUAACCCCGGUCGGCAGUGGAUACGGGCAGGCUAGAGGUAGGUAGGGGGAGAAUGGAAUUCCCGGUGUAGCGGUGAAAAUGCGCAGAUAUCGGGAGGAACACCGGUGGCGAAGGCGGUCUCUGGGCCUUACCUGACGCUGAG
This 227-nucleotide ribosomal RNA is filed under the name uncultured bacterium. RNAcentral's name for it is "partial 16S ribosomal RNA". It matches the Rfam family "Bacterial small subunit ribosomal RNA", at positions 524 to 750 of the family's 1533-position model. The record is from RNAcentral.